This 547-nucleotide ribosomal RNA is filed under the name uncultured Glomus. RNAcentral's name for it is "SSU rRNA". It matches the Rfam family "Eukaryotic small subunit ribosomal RNA", at positions 548 to 1098 of the family's 1831-position model. The record is from RNAcentral. Lineage: Eukaryota; Fungi; Glomeromycota; Glomeromycetes; Glomerales; Glomeraceae.
UUGGAGGGCAAGUCUGGUGCCAGCAGCCGCGGUAAUUCCAGCUUCAAUAGCGUAUAUUAAAGUUGUUGCAGUUAAAAAGCUCGUAGUUGAAUUUCGGGGUUAGUAGGCUGGUCAUGCCACAGGUAUGCACUGGUCUUACUGAUUCCUCCUUCCUGAUGAACCGUAAUGCCAUUAAUUUGGUGUUGCGGGGAGUCUGGACUGUUACUUUGAAAAAAUUAGAGUGUUUAAAGCAGGCUAACGCUUGAAUACAUUAGCAUGGAAUAACGAAAUAGGACGUUCGAUCUUAUUUUGUUGGUUUCUAGGAUUGACGUAAUGAUUAAUAGGGAUAGUUGGGGGCAUUAGUAUUCAAUUGUCAGAGGUGAAAUUCUUGGAUUUAUUGAAGACUAACUACUGCGAAAGCAUUUGCCAAGGAUGUUUUCAUUAAUCAAGAACGAAAGUUAGGGGAUCGAAGACGAUCAGAUACCGUCGUAGUCUUAACCAUAAACUAUGCCGACUAGGGAUCGGAUGAUGUUAUUUUUAAUGACUCAUUCGGCGCCUUACGGGAAAC